Molecule: long non-coding RNA, 259 nt
Filed under: Homo sapiens (human)
Lineage: Eukaryota; Metazoa; Chordata; Mammalia; Primates; Hominidae
Description: HSALNT0389467
Source: RNAcentral
AUCACCAGCCCAGCUUCUAGAAAAUAUCACAAUCCCCUGAGAACAAGGAUGUAUCAGGGUCUUCAUUAAACCCUCCAGUUCUUUAUGAUCUGAGAACAGCUUCUUACAGAGGGAUUCUGGUUUAAAUUGUACCUCUUCCUGUGUCACUGAAAAUUCAAGGAAUAGAUGUUACCAAAACUUACAAAAGCAUGUGGAUCAUUAUGUCGCUAAGUCCUUCAUUUGACCUUCCCUAAGGAGAAACACCUGAACUCAUUACUAC